GCACACUUAGCUUAGAGGUUAGAGCAUCACAUUAGUAAUGCGAGUCAUCGGUUCAAAUCCGAUAGUUGGCC
RNAcentral lists this transfer RNA (71 nucleotides) under Zea mays. It matches the Rfam family "tRNA". From Rfam's summary of the family: Transfer RNA (tRNA) molecules are approximately 80 nucleotides in length. Lineage: Eukaryota; Viridiplantae; Streptophyta; Magnoliopsida; Poales; Poaceae. The record is from Rfam by way of RNAcentral.